CAGUCGCCACGGUAAUACAGAGGGUGCGAGCGUUAAUCGGAUUUACUGGGCGUAAAGCGUGCGUAGGCGGCUUCUUAAGUCGGAUGUGAAAUCCCUGAGCUUAACUUAGGAAUUGCAUUCGAUACUGGGAAGCUAGAGUAUGGGAGAGGAUGGUAGAAUUCCAGGUGUAGCGGUGAAAUGCGUAGAGAUCUGGAGGAAUACCGAUGGCGAAGGCAGCCAUCUGGCCUAAUACUGACGCUGAGGUACGAAAGCAUGGGGAGCAAACAGGAUUAGAUACCCCCGUAGUCCCUGUCUCUUAUCU
Molecule: ribosomal RNA, 301 nt
Filed under: uncultured bacterium
Lineage: Bacteria
Description: partial 16S ribosomal RNA
Rfam family: Bacterial small subunit ribosomal RNA
Source: RNAcentral